Molecule: ribosomal RNA, 496 nt
Filed under: uncultured bacterium
Lineage: Bacteria
Description: partial 16S ribosomal RNA
Rfam family: Bacterial small subunit ribosomal RNA
Source: RNAcentral
GAUGAACGCUGGCGGCGUGCCUAAUACAUGCAAGUCGAGCGAACGGACGAGAAGCUUGCUUCUCUGAUGUUAGCGGCGGACGGGUGAGUAACACGUGGAUAACCUACCUAUAAGACUGGGAUAACUUCGGGAAACCGGAGCUAAUACCGGAUAAUAUUUUGAACCGCAUGGUUCAAAAGUGAAAGACGGUCUUGCUGUCACUUAUAGAUGGAUCCGCGCUGCAUUAGCUAGUUGGUAAGGUAACGGCUUACCAAGGCAACGAUGCAUAGCCGACCUGAGAGGGUGAUCGGCCACACUGGAACUGAGACACGGUCCAGACUCCUACGGGAGGCAGCAGUAGGGAAUCUUCCGCAAUGGGCGAAAGCCUGACGGAGCAACGCCGCGUGAGUGAUGAAGGUCUUCGGAUCGUAAAACUCUGUUAUUAGGGAAGAACAUAUGUGUAAGUAACUGUACACAUCUUGACGGUACCUAAUCAGAAAGCCACGGCUAACUACGU